RNAcentral lists this ribosomal RNA (253 nucleotides) under uncultured bacterium. RNAcentral describes it as "partial 16S ribosomal RNA". It matches the Rfam family "Bacterial small subunit ribosomal RNA", at positions 524 to 776 of the family's 1533-position model. The record is from RNAcentral.
UACAGAGGGGGCCAGCGUUAUUCGGAAUUAUUGGGCGUAAAGGGCGCGUAGGCGGCCAUGCGUGUCUUCCGUGAAAUCCCUCGGCUUAACUGAGGACGUGCGGAAGAAACUGCAAGGCUUGAGUCCGGGAGAGGGGGGUGGAAUUCCCAGUGUAGCGGUGAAAUGCGUAGAUAUUGGGAAGAACACCGGUGGCGAAAGCGCCUUGCUGGGUCUGCACUGACACUGAGGGACGAAAGCUAGGGGAGCGAAAGGG